This 274-nucleotide ribosomal RNA is filed under the name uncultured bacterium. Its description in RNAcentral is "partial 16S ribosomal RNA". It matches the Rfam family "Bacterial small subunit ribosomal RNA", at positions 523 to 796 of the family's 1533-position model. The record is from RNAcentral.
AUACGGAGGGGGCUAGCGUUGUUCGGAAUUACUGGGCGUAAAGCGCACGUAGGCGGUUUAUCAAGUUAGGCGUGAAAGCCCCAGGCUCAACCUGGGAACUGCGUUUGAUACUGAUAGACUAGAGGCCGGGAGAGGGUAGUGGAAUUCCCAGUGUAGAGGUGAAAUUCGUAGAUAUUGGGAAGAACACCAGUGGCGAAGGCGGCUACCUGGACCGGACCUGACGCUGAGGUGCGAAAGCGUGGGGAGCAAACAGGAUUAGAAACCCCGGUAGUCC